RNAcentral lists this ribosomal RNA (397 nucleotides) under uncultured Anoxybacillus sp. Its description in RNAcentral is "bacterial SSU rRNA". It matches the Rfam family "Bacterial small subunit ribosomal RNA", at positions 988 to 1382 of the family's 1533-position model. The record is from RNAcentral. Lineage: Bacteria; Bacillati; Bacillota; Bacilli; Caryophanales; Anoxybacillaceae.
GCACCUGUAAACCUGUGGAAACACGGGUCCCUCCUUCCGGGAGCAGGUGUAGAGGUGGUGCAUGGUUGUCGUCAGCUCGUGUCGUGAGAUGUUGGGUUAAGUCCCGCAACGAGCGCAACCCUCGACCUUAGUUGCCAGCAUUCAGUUGGGCACUCUAAGGUGACUGCCGGCUAAAAGUCGGAGGAAGGUGGGGAUGACGUCAAAUCAUCAUGCCCCUUAUGACCUGGGCUACACACGUGCUACAAUGGGCGGUACAAAGGGUCGCGAACCCGCGAGGGGGAGCCAAUCCCAAAAAGCCGCUCUCAGUUCGGAUUGCAGGCUGCAACUCGCCUGCAUGAAGCCGGAAUCGCUAGUAAUCGCGGAUCAGCAUGCCGCGGUGAAUACGUUCCCGGGCCUU